UGGGGAAUAUUGGACAAUGGGCGCAAGCCUGAUCCAGCCACGCCGCGUGAGUGAUGAAGGCCUUCGGGUCGUAAAGCUCUGUGGGGAGAGACGAACCGCUGGGGUAACCCUCCAGCAUGACGGUAUCUCCUUAGCAAGCACCGGCUAACUUCGUGCCAGCAGCCGCGGUAAUACGAAGGGUGCAAACGUUGCUCGGAAUUAUUGGGCGUAAAGCGCACGUAGGCGGUUUUUCAAGUCGGAUGUGAAAUCC
RNAcentral lists this ribosomal RNA (250 nucleotides) under uncultured bacterium. RNAcentral describes it as "partial 16S ribosomal RNA". It matches the Rfam family "Bacterial small subunit ribosomal RNA", at positions 355 to 602 of the family's 1533-position model. The record is from RNAcentral.